This 435-nucleotide ribosomal RNA is filed under the name Phialemonium obovatum. RNAcentral describes it as "eukaryotic LSU rRNA". It matches the Rfam family "Eukaryotic large subunit ribosomal RNA", at positions 124 to 570 of the family's 3401-position model. Lineage: Eukaryota; Fungi; Ascomycota; Sordariomycetes; Cephalothecales; Cephalothecaceae. The record is from RNAcentral.
GGCCUCGGCCCGAGUUGUAAUCUGUAGAGGACGCUUUUGGCGCGGUGCCUUCCGAGUUCCCUGGAACGGGACGCCACAGAGGGUGAGAGCCCCGUAAGGUCGGACACUAAGCCUCUGUAAAGCUCCUUCGACGAGUCGAGUAGCUUGGGAAUGCUGCUCUAAGCGGGAGGUAAACUUCUUCUAAAGCUAAAUACUGGCCAGAGACCGAUAGCGCACAAGUAGAGUGAUCGAAAGAUGAAAAGCACUUUGAAAAGAGGGUUAAAUAGUACGUGAAAUUGUUGAAAGGGAAGCGCUCAUGACCAGACUUGCGCCUGGCGGAUCAUCCGGUGGUCUCCACCGGUGCACUCCGCCUGGCGCAGGCCAGCGUCGGCUGUUGCGGGGGGACAAAAGCUCUGGGAACGUAGCUCUCUCCGGGGAGUGUUAUAGCCCUCUGCA